Cyprinus carpio (common carp) is the source of this 912-nucleotide long non-coding RNA. Lineage: Eukaryota; Metazoa; Chordata; Actinopteri; Cypriniformes; Cyprinidae. The record is from Ensembl.
AUGAGUAAAAUCACUCACCUAAUAUGUGUUUAUCUUGUAACAGACAUCGUUUCCAUUUCUCACUUUAAAAACUUAGGCGACCAGUUAUCCCAACGACUCAAAACAAUGAUUAUUUUCCCAGAGUCCUUCUUCCCUCCGAUACCAGUGACCUCAGAUAUGAAAGUGGAGCUGAGCGCACAAGAUUUAGAACAACAAUCCCCGCAUGUGACGUCAGAUGAGCCCCUCAUUCCUCCCUUGCUACUCCCUCUAGCGUUCGAUUGUUCUGCGUCCGUACCGUCCUGCACCGGCGAGAUAUACAAUGUCAAGUCGUGUUUGUUUCCUGCCCGAACAGCACCUCUCUGUGGCGAACCGGAGGCAUCGAAACUACCAAAUCGGAGAUCUUUCGGGCUGUGCUGCGUCAGCACGUUGCUUGGAAACCAGCAAAGCCGUCCUCGGACGCAGAGCUCGGUGUGGAUCUGCAGAACAUCAGGACUUGGCCAGCGGGUGGUGUAACAUGUCAGCCAUGCACUGGGAGGCCCGUCGCCGUCAGCAGGCGCUGGACCGCAGAUUGUCUGCUAGAGUUAUGCAGGCAGGCAACCAAGAUAAAAAGAAAGAAGAGUCUACGGCACCUGUGACACCCUGUGAACCUGCAGUGUCCAGUGAGUCUCAAGAGGCUGACAAGCAAUGCGUUUGCAAGUGUCAUGCCAAGAUGAACAAAAGAUACACAUCUCUGCAGUAUUCCCAGCAAUGGUGAAGAUGAAGGCCAGACUACUGGAUAUCACUAACUCCAAUAUUAAAGUGUAUUUCAUCGAAAAACCAGACUUUAUUGUUGGGUUUAAUAAUCCUAAUUAAAACAGAACUGGGUGUCUAACAGUUCUGGCUGGAUUUGCUCAAGAAUUCUCAACAAAUAAAAUGCAGGUCAUUUAAUGUGCA